RNAcentral lists this long non-coding RNA (1293 nucleotides) under Coturnix japonica (Japanese quail). Its description in RNAcentral is "lncRNA (ENSCJPG00005002795.1)". The record is from RNAcentral. Lineage: Eukaryota; Metazoa; Chordata; Aves; Galliformes; Phasianidae.
CUAUUGGCUUCUAUUGGGCCCCUACUGUGUCCUAUUGGGUCCCAACAUGAUCAACACGACGUCUAUAGGGUCCUCCCAUCCCCUAUGGCUUCUAUUGGGUCUCUACUGGCUUCUAUUGGGCCCCAACAUGAUCAUCUCGACAUCUAUAGGGUCCUCCCAUCCCCUGUGCCUUCUAUUGGGCCCCUAUUGGUUCCUAUUGGGUCCCUACUGGGUUCUAUCGGUCUCCUUUUAGGUCCUCCCAACCCUAUAGCCUCUAUGGGGUUCCUAUUGGCUUCUAUUGACUCCUAUUGGGCCCCAGUGUGAUCAACUCAACGUCUAUUGGGUCCUCUCAUCCCCUAUUGGCUUCUAUUGGGGUCCUCCCAUCCCUAUUGGGGUCCUCCCAUCCCCUAUGGCUUCUAUAGGGCCCCUUAUUGGGUUCUAUUGGGUCCCUAAUGGCUUCUAUGGGGCUCCUUUUGGGUCCUCCCAACCCUAUAGCCUCUAUGGGGUUCCUAUUGGCUUCUAUUGACUCCUAUUGGGCCCCAACGUGAUCAACUCGACGUCUAUAGGGUCCUCCCAUCCCCUAUUGGCUUCUAUUGGGGUCCUCCCAUCCCUAUUGGGGUCCUCCCAUCCCUAUGGCUCCUAUUGGUUCUCAACAUAAUCAACUUGACGUCUAUUGGGUCCUCCCAACCCUAUAGCCUCUAUUGGGCCCUUAUUGGCUUCUAUUGUGUCCUCCCAUCCCCUAUUGGCUUCUAUUGGGGUGCUCCCAUCCCCUAUUGGCCUCUAUUGGGCCCCUAUUGGCUCCUAUUGGGCCCCUACUGGGUUCUAUUGGGCUCCUAUUGGCUCCUCCCAUCCCUAUUGGCCUCUAUUGGGUCCCUACUGGCUCCUAUUGGGCCCCUAUUGGUUCCUAUUGGGCCCCUAUUGGUUCCUAUUGGACCUCUACUGGGUUCUAUUGGGCUCCUAUUGGCUCCUCCCAUCCCCUAUUGGCUUGUAUUGGCUCCUAUUGGAUCCUCCCAUCCCCUAUUGGCUUCUAUUGGCUCCUAUUGGGUCCUCCCAUCCCCUAUUAGCUUCUAUUGGCUCCUAUUGGGUCCUCCCAACCCUAUUGGCCUCUAUUGGGCCCCUAUUGGUUCCUAUUGUGUCCCUACUGACUUCUAUUGGGCUCCUAUUGGCUCCUCCCAUCCCCUCUUGGCUUCUAUUGGGCCCCUACUGGGUUCUAUUGGGCCCCUAUGGCUUCUAUUGGGGUCCUCCCAUCCCUAUUGGGGUCCUCCCAUCCCUAUGGCUCCUAUUGGUUCUCAACAUAAUCAACUUGACGUCUAU